CAAUGGGUGAUUAUCUCGAGGGGAAUGAGAUCAACCUUGAGAAAAGGACUGAGCCUGUCCUGCCAGCUGGACCCCCAGACCUAGUUGGCCAGCAGAAUACUCAAGGCCAAGAAGAACCAGCCAUCAUCAAGGUCAGGGGUGAGUGAGUGUCUGGGCCGGGGUGACUGACUCCUAGGGGUUCAGUAAGGCUUCAGGCUAAGCGUGGCCUUGGGGAGUUGGACAGCUGGCACUGGGAUCCCAGCUCCACUACUGAGCAGUCCUGUGACUGGGGUGACUCUCUUCAGCUUCCUGAGACUCCGUUUCCUCCUCUGUGAAAUAGGUGAUACUAAAUGAUCGCUCAUGGGGCAGGGACAAAUGGGGUACUGGUG
Molecule: non-coding RNA, 368 nt
Organism: Ceratotherium simum simum (southern white rhinoceros)
Lineage: Eukaryota; Metazoa; Chordata; Mammalia; Perissodactyla; Rhinocerotidae
Source: RefSeq, a predicted model, not a curated record